Molecule: ribosomal RNA, 254 nt
Filed under: uncultured bacterium
Lineage: Bacteria
Description: partial 16S ribosomal RNA
Rfam family: Bacterial small subunit ribosomal RNA
Source: RNAcentral
UACGUAGGGUGCGAGCGUUGUCCGGAAUUAUUGGGCGUAAAGGGCGCGUAGGCGGCCAGCACAAGUCAGUUGUGAAAUCUCCGAGCUUAACUCGGAAAGGUCAACUGAUACUGUGCGGCUAGAGUGCGGAAGGGGCAACUGGAAUUCCUGGUGUAGCGGUGGAAUGCGCAGAUAUCAGGAGGAACACCGAUGGCGAAGGCAGGUCUCUGGGCCGCAACUGACGCUGAGGAGCGAAAGCAUGGGGAGCGAACAGG